UAGGGAAUCUUCCACAAUGGACGCAAGUCUGAUGGAGCAACGCCGCGUGAGUGAAGAAGGUUUUCGGACCGUAAAGCUCUGUUGUUGGUGAAGAAGGAUAGAGGUAGUAACUGGCCUUUAUUUGACGGUAAUCAACCAGAAAGUCACGGCUAACUACGUGCCAGCAGCCGCGGUAAUACGUAGGUGGCAAGCGUUGUCCGGAUUUAUUGGGCGUAAAAGCGAGCGCAGGCGGAAGAAUAAGUCUGAUGUGAAAGCCCUCGGCUUAACCGAGGAAUUGCAUC
Molecule: ribosomal RNA, 281 nt
Filed under: uncultured bacterium
Lineage: Bacteria
Description: partial 16S ribosomal RNA
Rfam family: Bacterial small subunit ribosomal RNA
Source: RNAcentral